This 500-nucleotide ribosomal RNA is filed under the name uncultured bacterium. Its description in RNAcentral is "partial 16S ribosomal RNA". It matches the Rfam family "Bacterial small subunit ribosomal RNA", at positions 30 to 523 of the family's 1533-position model. The record is from RNAcentral.
AUUGAACGCUGGCGGAAUGCUUUACACAUGCAAGUCGAACGGCAGCACGGACUUCGGUCUGGUGGCGAGUGGCGAACGGGUGAGUAAUGUAGCGGAACGUGCCCAGGCGUGGGGGAUAACGUAGUGAAAAUUACGCUAAUAGCACAUACGAUCUAGGGAUGAAAGCGGGGGAUCGCAAGACCUCGCGCGAUUGGAGCGGCCGAUAUCAGAUUAGGUAGUUGGUGGGGUAAAGGCCCACAAAGCCAACGAUCUGUAGCUGGUCUGAGCGGACGACCAGCCACACUGGAACUGAGACACGGGCCAGACUCCUACGGGAUUGAGCAGUGGGGAAUUUUGGACAAUGGGCGACAGCCUGAUCCAGCCAUUCCGCGUGCAGGAUGAAGGCCCUCGGGUUGUAAACUGCUUUUGUACAUAACGAAAAGGUUUCUACUAAUACUAGGAGCUCAUGACGGUACUGUAAGAAUAAGCACCGGCUAACUACGUGCCAGCAGCCGCCGCGG